RNAcentral lists this ribosomal RNA (423 nucleotides) under uncultured bacterium. RNAcentral describes it as "bacterial SSU rRNA". It matches the Rfam family "Bacterial small subunit ribosomal RNA", at positions 917 to 1344 of the family's 1533-position model. The record is from RNAcentral.
GGGCCCGCACAAGCGGUGGAGCAUGUGGUUUAAUUCGAUGCAACGCGAAGAACCUUACCAGGGCUUGACAUACUGCAGAUCUUUUUGAGAAAGAAGAGUGCCUUCGGGAAUGCAGAUACAGGUGGUGCAUGGCUGUCGUCAGCUCGUGUCGUGAGAUGUUGGGUUAAGUCCCGCAACGAGCGCAACCCUUAUUUUUAGUUACCAACUUGUUGGGUUCUCUAGAAAGACUGCCGGUGACAAACCGGAGGAAGGUGAGGAUGACGUCAAGUCAGCAUGCCCCUUAUGUCCUGGGCUACACACGUGCUACAAUGGUUAAGACAAAGAGUCGCGAGUUCGUGAGAACCAGCUAAUCUCGUAAACUUAGCCUAAGUUCAGAUUGUAGGCUGCAACUCGCCUACAUGAAGUUGGAAUCGCUAGUAAUCG